ACGCUGGCGGCAGGCCUAACACAUGCAAGUCGAGCGGUAGAGAGAAGCUUGCUUCUCUUGAGAGCGGCGGACGGGUGAGUAAUGCCUAGGAAUCUGCCUGGUAGUGGGGGAUAACGUUCGGAAACGGACGCUAAUACCGCAUACGUCCUACGGGAGAAAGCAGGGGACCUUCGGGCCUUGCGCUAUCAGAUGAGCCUAGGUCGGAUUAGCUAGUUGGUGGGGUAAUGGCUCACCAAGGCGACGAUCCGUAACUGGUCUGAGAGGAUGAUCAGUCACACUGGAACUGAGACACGGUCCAGACUCCUACGGGAGGCAGCAGUGGGGAAUAUUGGACAAUGGGCGAAAGCCUGAUCCAGCCAUGCCGCGUGUGUGAAGAAGGUCUUCGGAUUGUAAAGCACUUUAAGUUGGGAGGAAGGGUUGUAGAUUAAUACUCUGCAAUUUUGACAUUACCGACAGAAUAAGCACCGGCUAACUCUGUGCCAGCAGCCGCGGUAAUACAGAGGGUGCAAGCGUUAAUCGGAAUUACUGGGCGUAAAGCGCGCGUAGGUGGUUAGUUAAGUUGGAUGUGAAAUCCCCGGGCUCAACCUGGGAACUGCAUUCAAAACUGACUGACUAGAGUAUGGUAGAGGGUGGUGGAAUUUCCUGUGUAGCGGUGAAAUGCGUAGAUAUAGGAAGGAACACCAGUGGCGAAGGCGACCACCUGGACUGAUACUGACACUGAGGUGCGAAAGCGUGGGGAGCAAAC
RNAcentral lists this ribosomal RNA (745 nucleotides) under uncultured bacterium. Its description in RNAcentral is "bacterial SSU rRNA". It matches the Rfam family "Bacterial small subunit ribosomal RNA", at positions 33 to 773 of the family's 1533-position model. The record is from RNAcentral.